ACCGCAUUAGUCCAGAGGUUAGGAUGUCUGAUUUUCACUCUCGCCGUGGAAACGCUCAGAAGACCGGGGUUCGAACCCCCGAUGCGGUA
RNAcentral lists this transfer RNA (89 nucleotides) under Paraphaeosphaeria sporulosa. It matches the Rfam family "tRNA". Rfam says of the family: Transfer RNA (tRNA) molecules are approximately 80 nucleotides in length. Their secondary structure includes four short double-helical elements and three loops (D, anti-codon, and T loops). Further hydrogen bonds mediate the characteristic L-shaped molecular structure. tRNAs have two regions of fundamental functional importance: the anti-codon, which is responsible for specific mRNA codon recognition, and the 3' end, to which the tRNAs corresponding amino acid is attached (by aminoacyl-tRNA synthetases). tRNAs cope with the degeneracy of the genetic code in two manners: having more than one tRNA (with a specific anti-codon) for a particular amino acid; and 'wobble' base-pairing, i.e. permitting non-standard base-pairing at the 3rd anti-codon position. The record is from Rfam by way of RNAcentral. Lineage: Eukaryota; Fungi; Ascomycota; Dothideomycetes; Pleosporales; Didymosphaeriaceae.